Molecule: long non-coding RNA, 339 nt
Filed under: Androctonus crassicauda
Lineage: Eukaryota; Metazoa; Arthropoda; Arachnida; Scorpiones; Buthidae
Source: RNAcentral
CAAAGGGCACAGGAUGCAUUAUGAGAAAGGAAGGCUAAGGUUUUCAAGAACACAGAUUUACAUCAAACUUGCGUUCUGAAUUAAUCUUUGAGAAUACUGGACUGUGAGCUAGACAUUGAGUAAGAGGUUUGUUAUAUCAAGAAUGUGAUCUAAAAAAAACAUUCAUCUCUUCCUCCCACAAGAGGAUAUUUUGAAACUGUGGGUCAAAGUCAGACUACAGGAGAGCCCUCAAAUAUGCCAAAUGUGACAGACAGCAGGAUUUUGAAAAUAUAGUGGGAGUAUGUGAAGAUGUUCCAGUCAAAGAGACAUUGUUUCCAAAGGAAAGAAAGUCCAGUCGCC